This is an RNA transcript of Xiphias gladius (swordfish), 4393 nucleotides long. It is a transcript of the gene named dystrobrevin, beta a, with no coding region annotated. The record is from RefSeq and is a predicted model, not a curated record. The transcript has 23 exons. NCBI's taxonomy places the organism in Eukaryota, Metazoa, Chordata, Actinopteri, Istiophoriformes, Xiphiidae.
UGGUUGGUGGGACGGACCGACGAGACCAGGGACUUCUUUCAAAAAUAGUCCACUUCAUCGCGGCAGCGGUCAUGGAGGGUGUGAAACAUGGUUCGCCACGGAUAUAAAUAACGGGGCCCGAGGGAGGAUAUCGGCCAAACCAAAGAGGAGGCAACAAAACACGGAAGCGGAUAUUUCAAAAGAGAAGAAACGAGCCAAAGUCAGUGCCACACGUUUCAGUGUUGAUGUCGGUAUUUGGCGACGAAUACCUGUCGAAAAUACCCUCGACGUCCUUUAUUGAGGCUCCUCUGUCCUGUGUGACCCCCUGACACAGAGAGGAUGGUGAUGGAGGAGGGGGGUCAAAGAGACAGAGGGAGGGGGGCUCUAGCGACAGAAGGAGCGGGGGGAAGGCAGAUCUUCGUGGAACUUGGGGAGCGAAACUUUGAUGCCAUUUGUCUUUCUACAUAUCGAACAGCCUGCAAGCUCAGAUUUAUACAGAAGAGAUGCAACUUGCAUCUGAUCGACAUAUACAACGUAAUCGAGGCGGUGCGAGACACUGGUCUGAACGCCGUCGAGCUGAACGCCAACAUCUCCGUGACCAGGCUGGAGAACCUGGUGUCCUCCCUGUUCAACCAGCUCAGCAAGCGCCUGCCCACCACACACACCAUCAACCCGCAAGAGAGCACCGCCCUGUUAGUUGAAUUCAUACUGGCGGCCAUUGACAGUGAACCAGACGACGGGCUGACGGUGCUGUCUGUGAAGGCGAUGCUAGCCAUGCUGUGUGGAGGGAAACUGGUAGAUAAAGUUCGCUAUGUGUUUUCUCAGGUAUCUGACUCCAGCGGUGUGUUGGUACAGUCGAAGUUUGACGAUUUUCUGAGGGAGGCUCUCAAGUUGCCCACCGCUGUACAUGAAGGACCAUCCUUUGGCUACACACACACAUUAGCACGCUCAUGCUUCCCACAACAGAAAAGGGUGAUGCUCAACAUGUUCCUGGACAUCACAGCCAACCCUCCUCAGUGUCUCGUCUGGUUGCCUCUCAUGCACCGCCUGGCCAAUGUGGAGCAUGUGUAUCAUCCUGUGUCAUGCUCCUAUUGUCGUGGCAACGGCAUGACCGGCUUCCGCUAUCGCUGCCUUCGUUGUCGUGGUUACCAGCUCUGUCAGAACUGCUUCUGGCGCGGCAAUGUCAGCGGCGCACAUAGCAGCCAGCAUCAGAUGAAAGAGCACUCGUCCUGGAAGUCGCCGGCGACAAAGCUGGGCCGAGCCCUGAGCAGGACUCUGGGCUGUGUGUCAUCCAGAGAGCCCCCCCGGCCAAUUUAUCCAGAGGAACCUGAGAGGACGCUUAACCUCGCCAACAUAGUCCCCUCUCGACCUGUUGGGAACACCAGUGAGGCCAUGUUGCUGUCCUCAUCAGCACCAGAGUCCGCCAAGAGUUUGGCAGCGGCUCAGCGUAUGAACGAGGAACACGCUCUGAUCGCUGCGUAUGUGAAUCGCCUCCAGAACAGCCCGCGUUUGGACACUCCCAGCAGGCAAGACGAGGAGCACAAACUCAUCGCCCGCUACACCUCUCGACUGGCGGAGACUGACGGCACAGGAGUGAUACCUAACCGGAGCAUCAACUUUGAUGUGAACAAACAGAAGAGGGAGCUCAUUGCUCAACUGGAGUGCAAAAACAGAGAGAUCUUGGCAGAGAUCAAACGUCUCCGCACAGAACAUGACGCAGCGUGCCAGCCCAGCCCGGAGAAGGGCAGCACCAACCCAACUCUGCUGGCUGAGCUUCGCCUGCUCAGACAGAGGAAAGAUGAGCUGGAGCAGAGGAUGUCGUCUCUGCAAGAGAGCAGGAGGGAACUGAUGGUACAGCUGGAGGGACUGAUGAAGCUGCUCAAGGAUGAGGAACAACGACAGGCAGCGCAGGCGGCUGGCUCUUCUCACGCCUCUCCUUCUCGACCAAGUCCGUCAACCGUCCGCUCUGUAGGUGCUGUGUCUCCCCAGGCUCCUAUGUACCCUCCUCAAGACUCCCUUGCAGGGGUGGGUGGCGACGUACAAGAGGCCUUUGCUCAAGGCCCAAGAAGGAACCUGAGGAACGACCUUCUGGUAGCUGCAGACUCCAUCACCAACACUGUGUCCUCACUGGUCAAGGAGCUCCACUCUGAUGAUGGUCGGGAGGAAGAGGAGAGAUUGCUGAACGGGAAGGACAGAGGGUUUUUCUGAAAAUGUUGACAUGAAAGGUGGUAAGAACUGCAGGUUAAAAUGAUCGUAGGAGAAACAAAGGCAGCAGAGUGAUGUUUCAUCACGGCCAAAGAAGACUGACCCUGCAGGGAUUAAAGUGUAUCUACUUAUAUUCAUCGUUAGCCAAUGGGGAUUAGAGCUCCACUGCCAAUCAACCAAUCACGAUGCUGGACACCAAAUGACACCCCCCCCCCCCAAAGGGUCCCUACUGAUGUAUAGCUGUGAUUCUGCGUGUGUCUUGUCACUGUGGUUUUACUUUUUGUUUUGAUUUGAUCGUGCAUAGCUAAACGAGGAAUCUGCAACCUACUGAUUUGUACUGUAGCGCGUGUGUGUGUGUGUGUGUGUGUGUGUGUGUGUGUGUGUGUGUGUGUGUGUGUGUGUGUGUGUGUGUGUGUGUGUCGAGGAGAGAGUGUGAAUAUAAAACCAUUUGCUUCAACAGGGUCGGUGCAGCAAUAGAGUAGCAAAGCUCGUGGAGAAGUGGGCUUUGUAAAUUUCUAUCCACCUUUUUAAAAGUACUCCUUUUAAAAGGUCAGUUCACACAAAUUUAAACCUUUUUUUUUUUUUUUUCUCACUUACCUCUGGUAAAGUGUUUCUCAAACCUUAAGGGAAUUAGGAGGAAAGAAAAUUGUCCAUUUUUCCUGAUUUCUCUCUUUUUCUCUAUUUUUCUUGUAAAAUAUUGGACUUGGAGAUGAAUAGCAUUUUGUUUGUGUCUUGAAAACAUGACAUUUAAAAAUAAAACAAAAACAAAAAAAGAACAACUGAGCAGCAACAUCCCUUCGUAGAAACAAUCCUCGUUACUCUGGAUAAUCCACAGAACACAUGGAACACUUUUCUCUGGAGCUACUUUUUAUCGAAUAAAUAGUCCCCGGGAAAACUGUUUUUCCCGGGGACUACAAAAAUGUUUGUAGCGUAAUUUGUGUGAACUGAUCCUUUUAAUGAUUACUCAGUGUUUUUCCCCCAGCAACUACAUGGGAGUCUCCUGCAUAAUUUAAUUUUAUUGCAGCCUCACGUCCGUACGAUCAGAUGUAAAUAUUUUAACGCUGAUUCUGAAAAAUCACAUUUUCAAUUGGAAAUAAAGAUGAAUAAGUAAUAAGGAGCUUAAAUGCUACGAUACCCAUGAGUCUCAGUGGCCAAGACAGUAAUCGGAGACAAAUCAGAGCCGUAGCCGAGUCAAAACACUUUGCUUUCUUUAAUCAGGAAAACAAAACUCAGUGCUGUUGCUGCUGAAUUGUUUUUCCAAAAAUCGACCAAAUAUCUGAAAGUGAGUUAAUUUCAUCAUAUAAGAAUCAGAAUUAAACAGAAUUAAAACAUUUUUUUUAUUUUUUUAGCAAUGCCCCGUGGGAGUUGUAGUUUACUCUUACUCCACAUGUUUUCAUGUACAGAAUUUUUCUUGAAGUCUUUGUUGCUCGUACUGUGAACUGUCGAUUCAACCGGCAGAAUUCUGGGGCCCAUUCAAGCCACGGAGGGGCUCCAACUGCCUGUCAACUAACCAAAGUAACUCCAAAAAAAAGUUAGAAUUUUGCUUUCUAAACACUUGCCCGCCCAAAAUGAACUCCCCACACUUGGCUACUCUAUGCGGCCUUCCGAGCUCCCUGUAAGAGGCAUUCGCGGCUGCGGAAGUUGAAGUUAUCUGUGCGAUGUCAAACUACACCCAGCGCCCCAAAAAUCUCCAGACUGAUCUCUUUUAUGCAAAUCCAGCAUGACCCAAAGUGAUUUACUGAGCUUGAGUCAGGUCAGGUGAAUUUUAUUUUUCGUCUAACCGCUGUGAGAGCUUUCCCAACACAUUUCAGCUUGCCAGGUUUUGGUUUGUGGUCAUAGGAAGUUGUCAUGUACAUUUCCGGAUUAGUUUUCAGUUGGAGAGUUUUUUUUGUUUGUUCGUUUUUGUUUAUUUGUCUGUUUGUUUUAUUUCACCAGCCCUCCACUACGCUUGACAGACUGCUUGUGGCCGGGAUUAUCACAUUUUUCAGCCCGCUGACUGACUGACUUACUAUACGAGCGACUUAAUAAAUGAAUGAGCUCAUGUUUCGGCUUGUAAGUGUGAACGAGGGCGCGAGAAGAAAUCGAGACUGACGGGACAGACGCGUCCUGACACGAAACUGUAAACACAUUCAGCUUCGAACCUGCUGGAGCUGACGAGAGUGAGUGACUGAAAAGUGUUUCAUCUGCAAUAAAUAAUAUUUAACAUCCA